GCUGGGUGUGGUGGCGCACGCCUGUAGUCUCAGCUACUCGGGAAGCUGAGGCAGGAGAAUCGCUUGAACCUGGGAGGUGGAGGUUGCAGUGAGCCAAGAUUGUGCCACUGCACUCCACCCUGGUGACAGACCGAGACUCUGCCUCUC
Unclassified non-coding RNA from Macaca fascicularis (crab-eating macaque), 147 nucleotides. It matches the Rfam family "Metazoan signal recognition particle RNA". From Rfam's summary of the family: The signal recognition particle (SRP) is a universally conserved ribonucleoprotein. The record is from Ensembl. NCBI's taxonomy places the organism in Eukaryota, Metazoa, Chordata, Mammalia, Primates, Cercopithecidae.